Molecule: long non-coding RNA, 4118 nt
Organism: Motacilla alba alba
Lineage: Eukaryota; Metazoa; Chordata; Aves; Passeriformes; Motacillidae
Exons: 4
Source: RefSeq, a predicted model, not a curated record
AUGGUCGCCUGUAGCUUGUGUUUAUUUUCUUGAAAACUUAGAGGAAACUGAUACACAACUUUUUAAAAUUUAGGUGUUUUACUGUUUCAUUUAAGGAACAACCAGAAAUUUUCUAAUGUGAAAGCCUCUUAAGUGAAUAUUUUGUAAAAACCUUUUGCUUUACCAGUGGUCUGGUUUUAACUAUGUGAACUUUAAAAAGAAUUAUGUUUCUGCCACUAUUCUAUGCAUUUGCUUUGCUAGCAGCAUAUUCUGGAAUACUUUUAUUACUUGUAAUUCAGCAAGUUUCUUCUUUGUUUUUUCUUAUCUUUCCUGUUUGUUGUUUGCAAUUGUGUGCUGAUUUCUGCAGCUUGUAAUGCAGUUCUGGUUUGUUUUUUUGUUUUUUUGGUUUUUUUUUUUUUUUUGCAUGAAAUAAGGUUGUGUAACACAUGGAUCUGACCUCAAUUUGAAACUACAGUGGAUGAAGCAGGGAUUAUUUCUUGAGUUAAAUUCUGUCUGAAGUAUGGGUUACGAGAGAACUGGAAAUGCUCUGUAGGACUUAAAAUUUCCUGUUAGAGUACAGGUACAUCUUCCCUUUUUAGCUUUCAAUUCUCUGGCAUAAGAAUGAAGAAAUCUGCAUCAGACCAGCUGAAGUAAAGCCUUUUCUGCAGCCUUGUAAAAACCCAGGAGGGACUUAAGAGAAGCUUCACCAGUACUGGUCUCAGCACAGAGUAAGGAAGCCUUGGAGCAUUCCCUGGAAUUCUGGGCUGGCUGCUGCCUGCCUUCAGAUCUGAACCAGCCAUGGGGUUCCAGCCCUACAGCAUUGAACUGCCAAGUUCCUGCGACUGAGCUGGGUUUAACAGGUCAGGCUUGGCACUGUGCUGCUAUUUUACAGCUGAUUCAUGCUUGGAUCAAGUGGGCUGUGCACAAAGAAUGGUUUGGUUACAAAAGAUUUUGAAAGCAACCCAUGUAAUAAUCUGAACGUAUACAAGAAUGUUAUCCUGUAGCUGAAUUUAGAGGAAAAAACCUACUCUUUUACAGCAAGAGCUAAUGUUUACUAUUAUUGUUAUCAGUGCACAAAUAUAGUGACAAUUAAGUCCAGAGUAAAUAAAAUCAAUCUGAGAUCUGGACCUCAGGUGCUCUGCUAGCUAAUGGUGUACUGAUGGCACAUGAUUUUUAUCUGGCUGUGUUUUAUGAGAUCUUUGCAGAGGUAUCAGUGACCACCUGUGACCACCUAGUGUGUUAGUACUGGUCACUCAGGCUUUGGAAUGCAGUUCUCCUCACUAAACUGCCUUCAGGUUUUGCAAAAUCCUUUAGGUCUGUAUCCCUGUCCUUUUUAGAGACUCCAGCAGUGACCUGCUCCAUGGAAUGGUUCUUGGCAGUGCCAGCACUUGUGUAUGAUUAAAUAAGAAAACUGAUCCAGAUGAAUGUGCUUACAACAGGCACUGCAGAAUCAGCUGAAUCCUUUCUGGGUUAUAUUAAAUGUGAAGUUCAGAUAGGCGGAACUAAAUUUCAUUACUAGUUUAUAAAUCAUUCUAUGCAUUAUUAUGAAAGUUUUUCCUACCAAACAAUACUGAUAAUUUAUUUGCAAAAAAAAAAAAAAUGCUGUGCUGCAUGUUUUACAUUGGUGGGUUGGGAAUAAAACAGGACCAGUGCUUAGCAAUUUUCUGGAAAUGUUUAUACAAAGGGACAGUCACAGAUUAUAUCCCCCUUACAAUCCUAUUAAUACCAAUAUUAAAAUCUGUAAUGAUCAGAGUUUCCACAGGACUCCAAAGAAACACAUUGGAAGUUUGUGGCAGAUCUGGGAUAACAGUCAGAGAGAAACCUCUCCCUCCUCCUCUGCCAGGCAGAAAGGCAGGUAUUUAAUAAGCUGUGUCACUGAUAAAGUUAAUCUGGUACCUGUAUGUCUGUAUCUUUAUUUAUUAGACAAUAUUUUUCUUUGUUCCUUAAUGUUCAUAGUGUGGUUACAGAUUUGUGUUCACAACACUGAGUGAGCAUUAAAUUUAUUUUCAUCAGCAUAGAAUCAUUACAGCUGGUAAAGAUCUUCAGCCAUGGCAAAUCAUUAUAUGGAGAAAAAUGAAAUUAAAAAAAAAUCCAGUUACUGAAAAAGUUACUGCCAGAUUAUGCUCCUCAUUGACAUUUACUUAUUCCAACACUUGUCUGUUUUGAAAAGUCUUGAGAGUCUAUAGUGGUGCUUUGAAAAGAAGAGUAAGAUUACAGAAGUUAAUUUCAUUAUUCCUGUUGUGCGAUGAUUUGCUUUUGGAGCAUAUGACUAUAACAAUUUAGUCUCAUGACGCAUUUGAAAAAAGGCAGUAGGAAUUGUGCUUUCUACUAUGUGGUGUGGUGAAACCACCACAGGAAGAACUAUGAAUCCCUGAGACACCAUUUUCAAAGUUAGGGAUGGUUUUAUUAUUAUUAUCUUACGAAAAUUUCUAUGUUGCCAAGAUCUGUAGGAAUGUGUAGGCACAAAGGCUGGCAAACAAAACUCUGGUUCAAGCAGUCAUCCUUCUUUAGAAAUAGUGCAGAUCAUAGUGUUGGAGAACUUGGUUAUUCCUACUGAACGUGAUCCUGCGCGAUCACAGGAAGUAUCAUGGAGCAUAACACACUUUUACAGAGACAUUAUCACAGAAUCAGAGAAUCACUGAAGUUGGAAGAGACCUCCAAGAUCAUGAAGUCUAACCUUAGGCUUUCUGUUUGUGUGUAGAGUUAACUCCCCCUUCUCAUGCCAAUCAGACAAAUUUUUGCUCUUCAGUUUCUUAGAGUAACUGCAGCUUAGUCAUGGUGAGUGAGGAACUAUUUUAACCUGUGGGUAAAAGCCUGACUGUUGUUUGAUUCGUGUAGUCAUUACAGGAAACCAAGCAUCCAAUUCUAUCUACAGUCAUAGUUAUUAGACAACAUAUACUUUAUUUACAUUUACAAUAUUUUUUCCAUUGCUUUGAGCUUAAAAAUAUAUCCAACUGUCUCUUGAUUAUGGAUUGGCAAUGUGAAAAAAAUAGGCCAAAUAUCUAAUUAUAUUCCAGAGAAGAUUUCUGAUUUGCAAACAGAGUAAUUUUAACUAAAAGCUAAUAAUACAAUUAUAGCUGUGAGGCUGGAAAUCAUAAUAGAUGAGGAUUUGGUUAUUUUAAAUGAGGCAUUAAAGGAUAAUGAAAGUUUUGAGUCACUUUUCCUUAAGUUUCAUUCCCAGUGGCUACAUUUCUAACAGUACUGGUGUGCAAAUAUAGGCAUGGUAAUGUGUGCACAGAAAUGAACACAGACCUCAGGCUGAAAUCAUGAUGAAAAUCAGAAAAUUCCAUUUUGUGGUUCAGGAUUUAUAAAAGAUCACUUAUGGCUGCAACUUAACUAUUUUUUUCCUCCUGAAGCUACAAUGAAGGUAUGUGUUUAAGAAAAGCAAAAUACACCUAGAAGUAAGUAACAAUUUUCUGCCUGGAUCCAUAUUGCUAAUUUUUAUUUUUUGAGAGUGGGGAAAAAAGGACUCUACUGCCAACAUAUAAGAGUUUUAUAGCUAUUUUUGCAUUUGUAAUAUAUGAGUUACUAAGACAGGUCUCAGUUUUAAUAUAGAAACAGCUUAGGAAAUCAUUCCUCAAAAAUAAUCUUGGGGCAAGAUGCAAAACUCAUGUUUCAUGCUUUUUAUACUGUGAGAAGCGUAUUGUACUUCAGAAUGUAAAAGCAAUUGAUUUCCAGCUUUACUGUCCAAUUAAAAUUUUCUGAUUCUUGUAAGCUGGAGCAGGGUAAUUCAUUAUAUCAGCAAAUUGUAUUCUUUCCCAAAGACAUGAAGUGGCAGGCAGGUCAUUUUUACGAAUGCUCAUUAUAUUCAGAAGAAAUCUGAAUGUAAUUUGCAGUUUUCAGAAGGAAGAAAACAUUCAGCUUGGAAUAUGAUGUGUGUAGUGCUCCUACAAAUAACGCUGGUGCUCAGUUUGCACCCAGAGCUCAGGGAUUGUUCUCCCUGUGCAGUCACAAGCCCCUAAAGGAACUGCCCUCUGGUAAGCCCCAACAACAGCAUUAGAGAAGGGAUAACAUCAAUAACAUCCCAUGGGCAAAUUUGUGUCAAUAAACUCUAAAAUACCACAGGGGGUAGAAAAUGUAAUCUGCAACCAGUAAUUUAGAACAUGCAAAAUACAAUAGGAUGCAUUUCUGUGUCCCUU